AAAUUGGGCGAUUAAAUUUAUAGGGUCGUUUUAAUAAAUCUUAUUAUUCACAGUCAAAUUUUAGCUAUUAAAUUAUCCUUUAAAAAAUAUAGGAAAAUCCAAUAAAUUGUAUCUGCCUCACUCAAUUGGUGAAAUGCAAAGGACAAUCCAUUAAUUAUUGAACUUAAUUGGGCUAUGAAAUUUAUAGGGUCAAUCUAAUAAAUCUUAUCAUUCAGUGUGUGAUAGAAGCUAACGAUAAGUCCAUUACGAAAUAUAGAAAAAUCCAAUGAAUUUUAGAAGCUCGUUAUACCUAAUAAAUCAUAUAUGAAAUUCCUAUACAUUUCAUCAUUUUGAAGUUAGAACACACGUUUGUUAAUUUGUUUGGGAAACAUAAACCCAGAAAAACGAUUGUUCGUGUUUUGUGCCAGUAGUAAUUUUUCGCCGGAGGAUUUUACCAGCUGAGUGGCAGCAAAGAUAACUUAAAUUUAAUCGCUGUGAUAUAAGCAAACAUUUACGAACGUAAAACACGGGUCUUAAAAUGAGGGGCAGCAGCGGAGGAAACAGAUUCGAACUUCAGCGAGAAUGCGCACGGUUCCAUUCUUCGCCAUGCACAGGAAACAUAAAUCCACCCGAACAAUAGCACCCAAUCCGCUGAAUCUGGAUUUAUGUACCAGCCAGGAUCAACAUGCAUCAGGCAUGAAACUGCGUCCCACCAUUCAUAACAAGUGGUUGAAGUGCAGUGCAGUGUAACUUUUUUAAUAUCUUGAUUUGUUAUAAUAAAUGUUUGAAUCAUAUAAUUUUGGUUAAAUUUGUUUAUUUGGAUAAAUAAGAUGAGAAAUAGAAAUUAAAUUACAGGCAUAUUUGAUUUCAAUG
Uranotaenia lowii is the source of this 852-nucleotide long non-coding RNA. RefSeq lists it as uncharacterized. NCBI's taxonomy places the organism in Eukaryota, Metazoa, Arthropoda, Insecta, Diptera, Culicidae. The transcript has 3 exons. The record is from RefSeq and is a predicted model, not a curated record.